AGAUCACUCCAUCAUCUCAAUUUAGAGCUAAUUUACAAUUCAUCGACACUGUGAAUGCUGAAAACAUGUUUAACAAUUGUAAGUAAUAUGUGUACAGUUUGUUAUAUUGGUCCAUACCAUCACUGCAGUCCUUCCUAGUGUAACCAGAUAUGAUUCCUGGAUAGUUUGUCAUAGUUGGUUGACCAAAGGAAUACUUUUGAUAGCAAUGGAAUCUGUUUUGAAAGUAAAAGACAAUACUGAUGCACUUCCUAUGUCAUUUCUAUUUUACAUUUAAAAAAAGUUGUAAUCAAUGUAGUUGUAAACAAAUACUGUAUAUCAUUUUGAUCUCAUGCAUAGUCAGUCCAUGAGAGAGGUGACAUUUCUCUAGCCUUCAACUAUUUAUCCUUCAACUAUUUACAGAAAGAAGUGGUGCGACCACCACCCAAACAGGCAACCCAAAUACUCAAAUAGAUUAUACUCUUUAACCACGUAGCUGAAGUAGGAACACCCAGGGUUCUGAGUGCAGGCAAGCUGGCAAUGAUGGUGGUCCCGUUCAUACACCGUCAGAAUGUCAUUCCCACCAAAGUCUUUGUCAACCUUGAUUCCCUGUGAGCAGUGAGCUGUUGAAUAGGGGCACAUGUGGUUUUCAAUUAGAUUACAAGUAAAUUAAAAAGACUACCACAAUAGUGACAGAAAUGGAUUUGUCCAUGCUCAAUAUUACAAUUUUAGAUUGAUUUACACUAAACCAUGAAGGAUAUGUCUUAUCUUAUAAAGCAUAUUAGCAUGUUCACUCACAUGGUUCAACUGCUCUUGUGCCACUGAAGGACUCAUCCAAGGACUGCUGGCUGAAGAAGAGGUCAGGGGCUGCACCUGGGCAAAGAAAACAUUCCCACACUGUAAAUUUAACAAGAAAGAUCACAAAAAUUUACAGAUGCUGGAGAAAAGGGAAGACAAUUCUUACCCAGAAACACUGCCAACACUGUUGGGAGCCACAUAGCCACUGAAAAGAUGUAAAAGGGGCAAGAAGGUGUUUGCCUGUUUUAGAAAAUAUUUUAUAAAUAUGUAAAAG
Molecule: long non-coding RNA, 1048 nt
Filed under: Oncorhynchus kisutch (coho salmon)
Lineage: Eukaryota; Metazoa; Chordata; Actinopteri; Salmoniformes; Salmonidae
Description: lncRNA (ENSOKIG00005007513.1)
Source: RNAcentral